UUAUGGUUUAGUUCUGGCCAGAGAAGGGUUUGACACUAUAAUUCACAUAAGUUUGUUUUAUUUAUUUCUUAUUUAGGUUGUUUUAUAUUUUUAGUGGUGAAAUUUUGUUUUAUACGGUAACGUAGUUCAAGGUAGUGUUUUUUAAGGCGGAUAAUUCACAGUGCCAGCAUCCGCGGUUAUUCUGUUUGCCUUACUCUUUUUGUUUUGGUUUAAAUAAUUUUAGCUUUAUGAUUGUGCUGCUGCAAUAAGUAUUUUCAAUUUUGAUAUUUAAGUUAAAUUAUUUUGAAGUGCUAGUGUGAGGACGGAGAUUAGAGACCUCCUUACUUAGUUUGGAAUUUUUUCCAUGGUUUUAACUAAAAGGAUUUGGCAGCUAACAAUUUCAUCCGGGGGAGUGUGCUUUUUAAAAAGAUGGUACACUUAUGAAUUUACCAGGUUUAGUUUAGUUAGUGUAUAUCCGAUUUAAUAUCUGUGAUUAGUUUUUUAAUAGAUGUACAUCAUUAAAUUUAAGUCAGGUCUAUGUGCUGCUAAUAGCUUGGGUAAUUGUGCAUUACAUUUUAAAGUUUGACUUUGUGAUAUAGUUGAUUGAUUUAGGACUCGGUAGUAGGAUUCCUUUAGUUUGGGACUUCGAAUGUGAUUUAGUUGGGGUACACAUCGCCCGUCAGUUUCAACGGUAGUUGGGAUAAGUCGUAACAUGGUAACGGUUGGGGAACCAGUCGUUAGUUGGUU
This 726-nucleotide non-coding RNA is filed under the name Cardiocephaloides medioconiger. Its description in RNAcentral is "small subunit ribosomal RNA". The stretch from base 331 to 719 matches the Rfam family "Microsporidia small subunit ribosomal RNA", at positions 752 to 1303 of the family's 1311-position model. Lineage: Eukaryota; Metazoa; Platyhelminthes; Trematoda; Diplostomida; Strigeidae. The record is from RNAcentral.